AACUUGGUGACAUUAUUAGAUAGAGAUUGAAAAGUGAUAGUUGAACUUUUUUUAAAUUAGUUUCUUCAAAUUACAGGAGACGGAGGAAGUAGAUUAAAAAUUGUUUUCUUGGUUUUAGAAUGUAUUUUUGUGCCCAGUUAGUGCAAUUUAUUUCAAUGUGCCCUGUUAGUAGCAGUAGCUAAAUUUAAAUUUUAAUUUUAAAAUUUAAAUUUACGUCAUUUAGCAGACGCUCUUAUCCAGAGCGACUUACAGUAGUAGCUAGCUACCAGCUCUAGUUUCGACGCCAACAUUACCUACAAUUUUGUUGACUUUGUUGAAAAACCCCUUUCAUUCUCUGGGGUACACGGAAAAGGUGCGAAUUAAAACUGAGAAUUCGUUUCAUGAAGACAGAUGCAAAGCUAAAUCCCCUCCUGUUCACUGAUUAAGAGGUGAUGACUACUCCACUCUACUACCAUUGUCAACUCUCUCCUGACAUGAACUGAAGCCACGUCUCAUGUGCCCGGUCAUCCACUGGCACAUUGAGUGUUUCCCCUCCACGCACUUCAAAUCCUGUCCUGCACUGGUCAAGUCUCUAAACACCUCAACUCAUGCUUCAUACCCUCAUUCAGUCACUGCUGUGAUCCCUUCCCAACACUCAUGCCUGUUCUGAUGUGGACAGGAUGAUUCUAGGAAACAAGUGUGACAUGAACGACAAAAGACAGGUGUCUAAAGAGCGAGGAGAAAAGUUGGCGAUUGAUUACGACAUCAAGUUCUUAGAAACGAGCGCCAGAUCCAGCCUGAAUGUGGAAGAGGACCUGAGCCCUAGGACCAUGCCUCAGGACUACCUGGCUUGAUGACUCCUUGCUGUCCCCAGUUCACCUGGCCGUGCUGCUGCUCCAGUUCCAACUGUUCUGCCUGCAGCUAUGGAACCCUGACCUGUUCACCGGACGUGCUACCUGUCCCAGACCUGCUGUCCCAGACCUGCUGGAACCCUGACCUAUUCACCGGACAUGCUACCUGUCCCAGACCUGCUGUUUUCAACUCUCUAGAGACAGCCAGAGCGGUAGAGAUACUCUCAAAGAUCGGCUAUGAAAAAGCCAACUGACACUAACUCUUGUGUUACUGACUUGUUGCACCCUCGACAACUACUAUGAUUAUUAUUAUUUGACCAUGCUGGUCAUUUAUGAACAUUUGAACAUUAUAACAGCCAUGUGCUGUUAUAAUCUCCACCCGGCA
Molecule: long non-coding RNA, 1215 nt
Filed under: Salmo salar (Atlantic salmon)
Lineage: Eukaryota; Metazoa; Chordata; Actinopteri; Salmoniformes; Salmonidae
Description: lncRNA (ENSSSAG00000096959.1)
Source: RNAcentral